This is a long non-coding RNA of Triticum aestivum (bread wheat), 779 nucleotides long. RefSeq lists it as uncharacterized. The record is from RefSeq and is a predicted model, not a curated record. Lineage: Eukaryota; Viridiplantae; Streptophyta; Magnoliopsida; Poales; Poaceae. The transcript is spliced from 3 exons.
AUCGGCUCAAAAAAUUAAAAAAAGCAUAGAACGAUCGAUCCAUCCGAUCCCACAGACUGAAUCUUCCGCCGCCGCCUUGCCGGCCUUGCCGUAUCGCAUGGUUUCCGCCGGCCGAUAGCCACUCCGACCAGGAACAGCGAUUGAUCUAUUCGGGCCCGAUUAGUUCUAUUUUGACUAAUCGGUUCGGAUUUGCUUGUGGCAAGCUGGGUGACGGAAUUGCUUAUUUUGCUCUUUGACGAUGUUAGCCAAAUCGUCCAAGAACUAAUGCUCAUCAACAAUACCCAACAUACACCACCACCACCACCACCGACCGUCCUCCGGUGCCUCCCAAAGCCGGAGCGACCAAGGUGGUACGCCUGACCAAGAUGCUCUCGCCGGACGAUCGCCUUGAGGACGACGGGUUCGAUGGCCUGGUGGAGGAUGUCACAGAAGAAGCGCGCAAAUUCGGUAACCUUGUGAUGGUCGUGAUCCCGCGGCCCGGCCCCGGCAGUAGUCCGGCGGUUGCUGGAGCCGGGAAGGCGUUUCUGGAGUACGUGUGCCUCGACAGCUCGUCCCAUUGCAGGAGGAGUAUGGAUCGCAGGUGGUUUGCUGAGAGGCGAAUUACUGCUGGGUUCUACCAUGAGGACAUGUUUGCUGCUGGAGACUACGGCUAUGACGUUGACUGCCCCGAAGAUGAUGGAUAAAGUAUUUGGUAGUUAAUUAAUCUCUUGUUUCUAGUGCCUAUAAGACAUGCACGCGAGCAUGGAUGUUGAUCUGAAAGCACAUUGUAUGAAUGCUAC